Non-coding RNA from Benincasa hispida (wax gourd), 4101 nucleotides. Lineage: Eukaryota; Viridiplantae; Streptophyta; Magnoliopsida; Cucurbitales; Cucurbitaceae. The record is from RefSeq and is a predicted model, not a curated record.
UCCUUCUACAUGCAAUAAAGAUCUCGUCUGAAGAAGAAGAAUUCAGAUUUAACUUCAUUUCUCUCUUCUCUACGAUAAGCUCUUUUCUGUUCUCUCUCUCUCAAUGUUCUUGAGUUCUUUCACUGAUUUACACAUAAUCAGCUUCUAAUUUCUUAAUUGUUGCAGAUUGUGAAGUUAAUUUGAUGAAGAAUCAAAUAUUGAACCAAUAUGAAGAAGGAAUGAAAAGAGAAGGAAACACAUAAGGAUUUUGAAUGGUUAAGCUUAUACAUUGCCUACAUCCAUGAUGGGAGAGAAAAGAUUUUAUUUAGAAUUAUCAAAGUGUUUUUACAGCUUGAAUCUCAUAUAAGUAUUAUAUCUCUUGCAUGUCUAAUUUAUCUCCUAUUUAUAAGCAUGUAUUAGUUUGUUAAGAAUUCUACCCUAAUUGAUUUUCACUUUCAUAUUUAAAAUAACAUUUCGGUUAUUUUCUAUAAACUUCUCCUUUGAAAUGAAAAUUAGUUAAAUCUAACUCUCUUUCCUGUCUUGUUUUAGUUCUUCUUUGUGAAGCCAAUAAGCUCGAGGCAGUGUAUGAACUUCAGUCGAGCUACUAGUUUGGUUAGCAUAUCGGUAGCAUUCUCUGAGGCUUUAUCGCAGCAGAGGUGGAUCUCCCAGGAACGAUAUUUACCUUUUCCCUCUGGUUCUGCUUUCGAGCUUCCUCCUCAAUUCUUAGUUGGGUGACAAGACUCUCCAAGGAAAACUUCUUGAUCUUAUGUCUCAAGGUGGUCUUAUUCUUCCAUAAGGGGGGCAAUUUGUCAAUAAUAACGAUAACUUGGAAUUGUUCGUCUAAGAGCAUACUUUCAGUUAUUAUUUCAUGGGCUAUCUUCUGCAGUUCAUAGGAUUGGGUCUCCACAGAUUUUUCAUCCGUAUCUAAAACUUGAGUGGGAUCUUCUUGGAUGGCUUAUCCAUGGUAUAAAUGUCAGCAACUUUCUUGACCAUAAGGAAAAACAACAUCUUCUACUUCCAUCGUUUGAACUUCGCUCAUUCGAACCGGAAUGGACGGUUGAGGUUGAAUGUCAUAAUGUUUUAUGACUUGUAAGGGCUAUCGCAGCGGUGACAGAAGAAAAUUGUCUUAAACUUGUUGUUUUUGGCUACCCUCCAAUAGUUAAAUUUGACAGCAGCGAGUAGUCAUGAACAACAGUCGUCAGAAAUAUGGGACCUGCAAAACAGAAACUUGUUACAGGUUCAGUCGUGGAUAUCGUUCUCUUUAAAACAUUUCGCGACUCUGCCCAAGUGUGCAAGCAGUUCUUCAGAAGUACCACGUCGUCCCCAAGAUAAAACAACCCAGAAAACUAUCUCCAUCGAAAAUGUGCAGUACAUAAUCGAAAAACUCCCACCCUUUAAUGCUUGGCAAACUGAAAAACGUAAAUGAGGGUAAUAGAAGAAAUUGAGAGAGAACGUGUUGAAAUUGUUGAAGGCUUGCACCUUUUAUAGGCCUCGAAGGCCAACUGUAGUGCGAAAUUGCAGGGGAAGCAGGUGGAAAGACUGAAACGAGCAACGCACGGGCAAAAAACUGACCGGCUCGCGACACGUGUUGGAGGAGUUGAAUGAAGACAUUAAAACAACAACAAUAAUAAUAAUAAUAAAGAAAAUAAAGAAAAAUAUUUUUAAUAAAUAAAAACAAUAAUAAUCUCACACGCGAGUGCCUCGCCUGACCGGACGGACAGUGGCGACGACGGCGUGUCACGGUUAUGCUUGUCUAGGGCGUGUUGCCCAUGGCCAUAUGACCACCUCCACCUCUUUUUACUAUGCUUUCAUCCUAUAUAUUUCCUUUUGCUAGGUAGUUAGGUUUAUAUGUACUUUUCUUAGUGAGUGAUCGCUCGCCCAUUUCCAUAUACAAGGGUAAUGGAUGUGUUUUUGUUCAGAAUGCAUUAUAUGGGGAUAAGACUAACCAUCACUUCCCCAUACUCGGAGUAUUAUGUUAUAAAGCUGUUAUUGUUGCUUAUUAUUUUCUAGCUUACUACAAUCUUUCUCUUCUCCAUUCUUACAAUCAAACUGUCUGCGAAAACCUUUUCUCCAAACCCGUUUUAUAAAACCGUUUUCUCCAAAACGGGGGUGGAGGUUGCAAGAGGCACCCGAUGUGCCAUUGGCUGUUCGUAUUUAAAUUGGCUGACUGGUUUGUGAGUGAGAACAAGUGCCGCACAAUCGCUAACUGAAGCUUCAAAAAGUGCGAUUGUGACAGUUGGUAUCAAAGCCAAGUCAGCUCGUAGAGUUGAAAAGUUGUGAUCAUUUCUGCUACAAAGUAGUUGAGCAUGUCCCAUGUUGACCGAUUGGUCGAGAUUGAACAACAAAUGCUCUAUUUAAUAGAAAUAUCUGAUCAGGUUCAGUUUCUAGAGACUCGGUUACAGGAAGUCGUUGACAAGGUCGAUGAAAUCGAUGCGGUGGCUGGCCGUUUAGACAGGAUGCCCGUCAAGGAAUUAUCGACAAAAGUUAGAACCUUAAUGGCAAAAACUACGAUGGAUAGGCCACUUGAGCAUGGGGAUGGUCGUCGGGCUCUAUUGCCGAUAGAAGAGCAUGUCAAAGAACUAGACAACUUGAAAAAGAGCAAUCAUUCAUAUGGUGACCGAGAUGUCCGAGGACUUUCGAGCCACCAUCGAGGUCGUCCACGCAGAGAAUACUGACAUUAGUGCAAAAAUUAACCUCACCAUGAGAGCGGUGGGAAAUCAAGCCCUAGUCGGAGGUGCAGCCCAAUUCAACAAGGUAAGAGUACCCGAGCCUAAGCCCUUCUGUGGGGCUCGCGAUGCAAAGACACUAGAAAAUUUUAUCUUUGACAUGAGUACUUCAAGACAACGACUGAAGAGUCGAAGAUCACCCUAAUGACGAUGCACCUAGCAGAGGAUGCCAAGUUAUGGUGGAGGUGCCGUUUUAGGGAUGUCCAAGAGGGACAGUGUACCAUCGACACGUGGGAGAGAUUGAAACAAGAGUUGCGUUCUCAAUUCUUCCCCGAAAAUAUUGAGAUUUUGGCAAGACGCAAGCCACGGGAAUUGAAACAUACUAAUACUAUUAGAGACUACGUGAAACAAUUUGCCAGAUUGAUGUUGGACAUAAGAGACAUGUCCGAAAAAGACAAAGUUUUCUGUUUUAUCAAAGACCUGAAACCGUGGGCGAAAACAAAACUGUAUGAGUAGAGAAUAUAGGAUCUCCCAGCCGUAUACGUAGCAGCCGAACGGUUAUUUGACUUGAUUGAUGAAUCUCAGGAGAUAAGGCAACACUCGAGAUCCCCUAAUAGGGGGAGAAAGAGCAACGGUUCGAGCCCAUCAAGAAAUAGUGGAGGAGAUAAAGACAACAAUGGGGAUAGUAUACCUCUUUACCAGACGACUAGGAAUAUGUGACAAGGGCAGAAUCAGAAGAAUUUUCAUCAGCCUUUAUCCUGUUAUAUAUGUAAGAGUCUACACAAGGUGAGCGAAUGUCCGAAACAAGCUGCCUUUAGUACUUUCCAAGCCUCAUUAGCUACAGACUUAAAAGGCAAAGCUGUUUAGGUAGAAGACGAGAAUGUGUAAGCAGAGAAAGAUAGAACCCCAAGGGUUGGGACCCUGAGAUAUUUAGCUGCCCUCCAAAAAGAUAUAGGAGAAGGAAAAUGAUCUCACGGAGGCGAACUGAUGUAUAUUGAUGCUUGGGUCAACCAUAGAUUGACCAAAAGUACCAUAGUUGAUUCGGAGGCCACCUAUAAUUUUAUGUCCGAAACAGAAGCCAGACGGCUGAAUUUCCAUUGGGAAGGAUGCGCAGGUAAAAUGAAAAUAGCGAACUUUGAAGCCUUGCCAAUUACAGGAAUAGCAAAGAGAACAGUCGUAAAGUUAGGGGAUUAGAGUGACCCUGCCGAUUUCGUGAUCGUUAAGAUGGAUGACUUUGAUGUGAUGUUGGGAAUGAAGUUCUUGCUUGAGCACAAGGUAAUACCGAUACCCCUCACCAAGUGUUUAGUGAUCACCGGGUCUACGCCCAUCGCUGUGCAUGUUGAGAUCAGAUGAUCGAAGGGGAUAAGUUUUGGGGUUGAUGCCCUAAAGUCUCGUGUUCUGUAGUUUGUAAACAGUAUGUACGAACGCUUGUGUUGUUAGUAUAUGAUAUUUACUU